GAAUGAAAAUAGCCCUAAAGUUUGACUUUGUGAGUGUGUACCAGGAAGAACACAGAGUGAGGAGGAUGUGGUGAUUGAAGACUUUGAGGAAGAUUCAGAGGCUGAAGGCAGCGGAGGCGAGGAUGACAUCAGGGAGCUUCGGGCCAAGAAGCUGGCUCUGGCCAGGAAGAUAGCUGAGCAGCAGCGUCGCCAGGAAAAGAUCCAGGCUGUCCUGGAGGACCACAGUCAGAUGAGGCAGAUGGAGCUCGAAAUCAGACCUUUGUUCCUCGUACCAGACACCAACGGCUUCAUUGACCACCUGGCCAGUCUGGCGCGGCUGCUGGAGAGCAGGAAGUACAUCCUGGUGGUGCCCCUCAUCGUGAUCAAUGAGCUGGACGGCCUGGCCAAGGGGCAGGAGACAGACCACCGGGCUGGGGGCUACGCCCGUGUGGUACAAGAGAAGGCCCGCAAGUCCAUCGAGUUCCUCGAGCAGCGAUUCGAGAGUCGGGACUCUUGCCUGCGAGCCCUGACCAGCCGUGGCAAUGAACUCGAAUCCAUCGCCUUCCGCAGUGAGGACAUCACUGGCCAGCUGGGUAACAACGAUGAUCUCAUCCUGUCCUGCUGCCUCCACUACUGCAAAGACAAGGCUAAGGACUUCAUGCCUGCCAGCAAAGAGGAGCCAAUCCGGCUACUGCGGGAGGUGGUGCUGUUGACGGAUGACCGGAACCUGCGUGUGAAGGCGCUCACAAGGAAUGUUCCUGUACGGGACAUCCCAGCCUUCCUCACGUGGGCCCAGGUGGGCUGAGGGAGCCACACUGGGGCCCCCCCACCGUGGAACCGUUCCUGAAAGGCCACCAGGCGCCCAGUGUAGCACGGAAGAUGCCCACGUGCCUGAGCCACCAAUCCACCCAGACAAUAAACCA
This 902-nucleotide small RNA is filed under the name Pan troglodytes (chimpanzee). RNAcentral's name for it is "processed transcript". The record is from RNAcentral. Lineage: Eukaryota; Metazoa; Chordata; Mammalia; Primates; Hominidae.